Long non-coding RNA from Tripterygium wilfordii, 1850 nucleotides. RefSeq lists it as uncharacterized. The record is from RefSeq and is a predicted model, not a curated record. Lineage: Eukaryota; Viridiplantae; Streptophyta; Magnoliopsida; Celastrales; Celastraceae. The transcript has 4 exons.
AGGGCCGAGCCCAAAACAGUAGAGAAUACGUCAUGUUCGAACCCGAAGGCCCAAAGAUACCCAUCUUGGCCCGAAGCUAAGCGCAAUUCGCACCGCCUCCAGCUCAGAUCAUGGCCCAUCUUUUCCUCGGUUUCAACUUUUCAUUCUAGAUGGCGAAGCUUCCCGAAAAAUACGCGCCACAAAUUUCACCCAUAAAAUAGUAUGAAAUUGUUUCCAAAAUUUGAAUUACACAACGAUAAUGGCAGAGGGUUUUUGCAUGAGAAAAUGAUGAUCUCCAUCGGCGCUGCAGGCUCGCCCGAUGAAGAAGGACAACAACGAAGUUGAUGAAUGAUGAUUGAUUGUUCGCGCAAAUUACAUAGGGCUACUUCCAUGACUUUUCUAUUCUGCAUCGUAUUGCCAUUUUGCGUCGUCCUUGUUAUCGUUGAUUGUUUGAUUAUCUCGACUAUACUAGAGAAAUCGAUAAAGCAUCUGGUUCAAAUAUCAGUUUCUUGCCAAGAGAACAUAAUUACGCUUGAAGAAUAGUCUAUUUGCCGAUCUUUCCUGUCGUUGUUUUGGAUUAUCUUCCUUUUCUUUUUUUUUUUGAUAAAUAACGUAGAAAUAGUUUCUACUAUGCUAUGCAUGAUUAAAUCCUUCAAGACAUGCCUCUAAAAUUUUGUUUAAUUACUGGAACUUUGUCACGAAAUCAGAUCUUAAUUUUUGUGCCACGUACUAAGCGACUACUGAUUAGCGAAGGUUGAUUGUAUUGAAAUUCGCUCUCCCGACUCCUACAGCAACGACUAGUAUUCUCUUUAUGGCUGAACUUGUUUUGGUUUAGGUAUAGAUGUCGCUGAAGUGAAGAUGCUUCAUGCUGUCUAAUGUGGAAGUUUUUUUCUGCUUAUAUUAAUUCCAUCGAUUUAUGAUGUAGGUGAAAGGUGAUCUUCCAGGAUGUAUUCCUGAAUUUCCUUCAAUUUUAUAUCUGGAUGAUGCCAGCAGUUCUGGAUUUUCCAGAGUCUAUUGAACCUGCGAAGUGAUAUGACGAACAUUUGCGAAUGACCUCAAUCUUGAUGGACGAAGAAUGCUUUAAGCUGAGUUGUCCUUCUCUGAUUUUUGUUAGAUAUGAUGGUUUCCAACUUUGCUAGGGACAAAUUUAGAGUUCCUUCACAAUUUAAGGUUAGAGUUUGCAUCCUUCCUCGUCUGAAGGCAGUUCUUUGGAUAAGGGGGCGAGUACAUUAUGUUGAUUUGUGCUGCUUUUGCAGUGAUUUUCAGAUGCUCACGGUGGUACUGUAAGACUCUUCUAUAUUUUUGUUCCUAUUUUAAAGAGUCUUAUUUAGCAUCAUUUGGCCGUUAACAUGGUUGUGAGUUAUCAUAGUAAGAUUUCUAAAUGAAUUGAAGUCCUAGAAGAAUCUCUUCUGGAUGAGAUAAUGUUAAAAUCUUGAUCCAAUUAGUGAACCUGGUGGGACAAAAACCCAAAACUAAAAAUGAAUUUGUAUUUUGUAGUCUUCAAGUUGCUAUUGAAUUACCAAACCUUCUAGUUUGCCCUACUGGUAUACUAUUCCCCUAGAAAUGAGCUACGCAACUUUGCAGCUGUAAUAACCCUUUUAAACGGUGCAACAUAUUAGUUGGAUAAGAAAUUAUUUACAGAGUCAUAAUUUCUUCUUCUUUUUUUUUGAAUUAAGUUCCUUUAGAAAAUGUAGUGUAAAUAUGAUCCUGGUAAGUAUGCUGUGAAUUAGAGUGAGCUUUUUACUUGACAGACUCUUGUUUUGAUUCGAGUCAAUAUAGGGGGGACAAUAUUGCAUUUUUCAAAAACUAGGACUUGUAUAAUUUACAUGUUCCCUUUCUAUUGCCCCCUUUUUUCUGUUGAUGGCCAUUGU